This 190-nucleotide non-coding RNA is filed under the name Acidipila rosea. Its description in RNAcentral is "Acidopila rosea 6S / SsrS RNA". It matches the Rfam family "6S / SsrS RNA". From Rfam's summary of the family: E. coli 6S RNA was the first non coding RNA to be sequenced, but its function was unknown until recently. It consists of 184 nucleotides that fold into an extended hairpin structure with a large single-stranded internal bulge. RNAcentral also lists the same sequence under 1 other name. Lineage: Bacteria; Pseudomonadati; Acidobacteriota; Terriglobia; Terriglobales; Acidobacteriaceae. The record is from Rfam by way of RNAcentral.
ACCGGCCUGCAAAGCAGGUGUGGUGAUUAACGCUGGUUGAACCUACAUUCAUUGAACAGGGAGCUCGACUCGAUAAAUCGGCCCGGUGUGCAGCGUCCGCCAGUUCGGAAUGCCUAAAGGGCCGCGGAGAGUUCCCACCGUCUUAGGACGGGUUCACCGGCGCAUUGCUGCACGGCCCAGUGGGUCGGUU